AUACGUAGGGGGCGAGCGUUGUCCGGAAUGAUUGGGCGUAAAGGGCGCGUAGGCGGCGCGGUAAGUCUGGAGUGAAAGUCCUGCUUUCAAGGUGGGAAUUGCUUUGGAUACUGCCGCGCUUGAGUGCAGGAGAGGUAAGUGGAAUUCCCAGUGUAGCGGUGAAAUGCGUAGAGAUUGGGAGGAACACCAGUGGCGAAGGCGACUUACUGGACUGUAACUGACGCUGAGGCGCGAAAGUGUGGGGAGCAAACAGGAUUAGAUACCCUGGUAGUCCACACUGUAAACGAUGAAUGCUAGGUGUAGGGGGUAUCGACCCCUUCUGUGCCGCAGUCAACACAAUAAGCAUUCCGCCUGGGGAGUACGGCCGCAAGGUUGAAACUCAAAGGAAUUGACGGGG
Molecule: ribosomal RNA, 397 nt
Filed under: uncultured bacterium
Lineage: Bacteria
Description: partial 16S ribosomal RNA
Rfam family: Bacterial small subunit ribosomal RNA
Source: RNAcentral